UACGGAGGGGGCAAGCGUUGUUCGGAAUUACUGGGCGUAAAGGGCGCGCAGGCGGCUGCUCAAGUCAGGCGUGAAAGGCCUGGGCUCAACCCGGGAAUUGCGCUUGAGACUGGGCUGGCUUGAGUGCGGGAGAGGAUGGUGGAAUUCCCAGUGUAGAGGUGAAAUUCGUAGAUAUCGAGAGGAACAUCGGUGGCGAAGGCGGCCUUCUGGACAGCGACUGACGCUGAGACGCGAAAGCGUGGGGAGCAAACAGG
Molecule: ribosomal RNA, 254 nt
Filed under: uncultured bacterium
Lineage: Bacteria
Description: partial 16S ribosomal RNA
Rfam family: Bacterial small subunit ribosomal RNA
Source: RNAcentral